GCGGUAUAGGUAAAUCCGUACUGCUAGUCGAACGUGAUAGUACUACAAAUCUUCGGACGCGUAGAUAGUGGAUGUAAACGUACUUCCUAGAAAAACCUCUAAGCUUCAGGUAUAUACAACCCGUACCGUAAACCGACACAGGUAGUCAAGGAGAGAAUCCUGAGGCGCUCGAGUGAAUCGUGGCUAAGGAACUAGGCAAAAUGGUCCUGUAACUUCGGGAGAAAGGACGCCCCACUCCGGUGGGGCCGCAGUGAAUAGGCCCAGGCGACUGUUUAUCAAAAACACAGGACUCUGCGAAAUC
RNAcentral lists this ribosomal RNA (301 nucleotides) under Karenia brevis. RNAcentral describes it as "partial Bacterial large subunit ribosomal RNA". It matches the Rfam family "Bacterial large subunit ribosomal RNA", at positions 1527 to 1832 of the family's 2925-position model. The record is from RNAcentral. Lineage: Eukaryota; Dinophyceae; Gymnodiniales; Kareniaceae.